GGUGCGGUAAGAGCGCACCGCGCACGUGGUAACACGUGUGGCAUGGUAAACCCCACUCGGAGCAAAACCAAAUAGGUGUUCUAUAGGCGCGGCUCGCGCUGAACACGGGUAGGUUGCUUGAGGUUUAUAGCAAUGUAAACCCUAGAUGAAUGACUGUCCACGACAGAACCCGGCUUACAGGUUGGCUGCUUUU
Molecule: RNase P RNA, 193 nt
Filed under: Gammaproteobacteria bacterium
Lineage: Bacteria; Pseudomonadati; Pseudomonadota; Gammaproteobacteria
Description: partial RNase P RNA component class A
Rfam family: Bacterial RNase P class A
About the family: Ribonuclease P (RNase P) is a ubiquitous endoribonuclease, found in archaea, bacteria and eukarya as well as chloroplasts and mitochondria. Its best characterised activity is the generation of mature 5'-ends of tRNAs by cleaving the 5'-leader elements of precursor-tRNAs.
Source: RNAcentral